GCAAGCCAGACCCAGGUCACAGAGGUCACAACAGGUUAGGCACGGAUCAGAGACAUCAUAGCAAACCAGAUAUGGGUCACAGAGGUCAAACUCAGGUCACAGAGGUCAAACUCAGGUCACAGAGGUCACAACAGGUCAGG
Amphibalanus amphitrite is the source of this 140-nucleotide long non-coding RNA. RefSeq lists it as uncharacterized. The record is from RefSeq and is a predicted model, not a curated record. The transcript has 3 exons. NCBI's taxonomy places the organism in Eukaryota, Metazoa, Arthropoda, Thecostraca, Balanomorpha, Balanidae.